GUGCCAACUGUAAUCAACUGACUCCACAUGAGAAGGAAGUUUCCAGUUUAGAGGAAACUUCUGUUACCCUGAGCUACAAGUUUUCUGGACAAGCAGCUGCUAAUGAUUAUUUCUUCUGGUAUCGACAAUAUCCUGGAAAACCUCCAGAGUUCCUGAUCUCGUACUCUGGAACAGGACGCAAAAUGUUGGAUCCCGUUCCUGGUUUUUCUUUUAAAGUGAGUGAUGAUAAAACCCAGAUGGACCUGCUGAUCUCCUCUGCUGCACUGACAGAUUCUGCUGUGUACUACUGUGCUCUGCAGCCCACAGUGACAGGAAACACCAGAACUCUGUACAAGAACCUGCAAUAA
Cyprinodon variegatus (sheepshead minnow) is the source of this 347-nucleotide non-coding RNA. The record is from the annotation of a RefSeq genome assembly. Lineage: Eukaryota; Metazoa; Chordata; Actinopteri; Cyprinodontiformes; Cyprinodontidae.